Molecule: long non-coding RNA, 587 nt
Organism: Salvia miltiorrhiza (redroot sage)
Lineage: Eukaryota; Viridiplantae; Streptophyta; Magnoliopsida; Lamiales; Lamiaceae
Exons: 3
Source: RefSeq, a predicted model, not a curated record
GGUGGUAGGGAACCAAGCUUUAAUCAUGAAUAAUGCUUUGUCCUUAAUCAUUCUUCCAUUGCAAGACAAAGCUCAUCACUUCACUCCCUCACACUUCAACUCUCAGUCACCUCCAAAAAUCCCUCUCUUCCAAUUUUGCUCCAAAAGAUCGCCAUAGAUUAAUCACCAAAGCUUCCAAGUUCACUUCAAGAUCAAAUCCUCCACCAAAUCAACAUAAACACCUUUCAAUUCUUGAAGAUUUCAAGAGGACCGUGGGGUUUGGUUUGAAGAGUGAGAAAGGAAAACUUUGAUCUUUGUUUAAUCUUGGGGUCCGGGCGACAGGAAAUGAAGCCGAAGAAGAAGCGACUCCACGCUAGCUUAAGAACGUUUGAGGUUGAGCAAGCGAUGGAAUGGAUCGGUGUUGAGCGGAUUUCUCUUUUGAUGUUUAUGUAAUGAAACCUUGAGUAUGCAUCUCCAUAUGCAUAACUCACACGUUUUUCCGCUGCAAACACUCUGACUUAUUUAUCAUUUCUACUUGAACUUAUUACUACUUCAUUUUAAUUAACUUUCAUUUGGGGUCUAGUCGUUAUGGCAGGCUCGUUUGUUAA